This 453-nucleotide ribosomal RNA is filed under the name uncultured organism. RNAcentral describes it as "partial 16S ribosomal RNA". It matches the Rfam family "Bacterial small subunit ribosomal RNA", at positions 332 to 801 of the family's 1533-position model. The record is from RNAcentral.
UACACUCCUGCGGGAGGCAGCAGUGGGGAAUAUUGGACAAUGGGCGCAAGCCUGAUCCAGCCAUGCCGCGUGAGUGAUGAAGGCCCUAGGGUUGUAAAGCUCUUUCACCGGUGAAGAUAAUGACGGUAACCGGAGAAGAAGCCCCGGCUAACUUCGUGCCAGCAGCCGCGGUAAUACGAAGGGGGCUAGCGUUGUUCGGAUUUACUGGGCGUAAAGCGCACGUAGGCGGACUAUUAAGUCAGGGGUGAAAUCCCGGGGCUCAACCCCGGAACUGCCUUUGAUACUGGUAGUCUUGAGUUCGAGAGAGUUGAGUGGAAUUCCGAGUGUAGAGGUGAAAUUCGUAGAUAUUCGGAGGAACACCAGUGGCGAAGGCGGCUCACUGGCUCGAUACUGACGCUGAGGUGCGAAAGCGUGGGGAGCAAACAGGAUUAGAAACCCUUGUAGUCCCAUGAU